CGCCCGUGCGGCAGCUAUAAUGCAGUCGAGCGGACAGAUGGGAGCUUGCUCCCUGAUGUUAGCGGCGGACGGGUGAGUAACACGUGGGUAACCUGCCUGUAAGACUGGGAUAACUCCGGGAAACCGGGGCUAAUACCGGAUGGUUGUUUGAACCGCAUGGUUCAGACAUAAAAGGUGGCUUCGGCUACCACUUACAGAUGGACCCGCGGCGCAUUAGCUAGUUGGUGAGGUAACGGCUCACCAAGGCGACGAUGCGUAGCCGACCUGAGAGGGUGAUCGGCCACACUGGGACUGAGACACGGCCCAGACUCCUACGGGAGGCAGCAGUAGGGAAUCUUCCGCAAUGGACGAAAGUCUGACGGAGCAACGCCGCGUGAGUGAUGAAGGUUUUCGGAUCGUAAAGCUCUGUUGUUAGGGAAGAACAAGUGCCGUUCAAAUAGGGCGGCACCUUGACGGUACCUAACCAGAAAGCCACGGCUAACUACGUGCCAGCAGCCGCGGUAAUACGUAGGUGGCAAGCGUUGUCCGGAAUUAUUGGGCGUAAAGGGCUCGCAGGCGGUUUCUUAAGUCUGAUGUGAAAGCCCCCGGCUCAACCGGGGAGGGUCAUUGGAAACUGGGGAACUUGAGUGCAGAAGAGGAGAGUGGAAUUCCACGUGUAGCGGUGAAAUGCGUAGAGAUGUGGAGGAACACCAGUGGCGAAGGCGACUCUCUGGUCUGUAACUGACGCUGAGGAGCGAAAGCGUGGGGAGCGAACAGGAUUAGAUACCCUGGUAGUCCACGCCGUAAACGAUGAGUGCUAAGUGUUAGGGGGUUUCCGCCCCUUAGUGCUGCAGCUAACGCAUUAAGCACUCCGCCUGGGGAGUACGGUCGCAAGACUGAAACUCAAAGGAAUUGACGGGGGCCCGCACAAGCGGUGGAGCAUGUGGUUUAAUUCGAAGCAACGCGAAGAACCUUACCAGGUCUUGACAUCCUCUGACAAUCCUAGAGAUAGGACGUCCCCUUUCGGGGGCAGAGUGACAGUGGUGCAUGGUUGUCGUCAGCUCGUGUCGUGAGAAUGUUGGGUUAAGUCCCGCAACGAGCGCAACCUUGAUCUUAGUUGCAGCAUCAGUGGCACCUCUAAGGUGACUGCGGUGACAAACCGGAGGAAAGGGUGGGGAUGACGUUCAAUCAUCAU
Molecule: ribosomal RNA, 1174 nt
Filed under: Bacillus subtilis
Lineage: Bacteria; Bacillati; Bacillota; Bacilli; Caryophanales; Bacillaceae
Description: bacterial SSU rRNA
Rfam family: Bacterial small subunit ribosomal RNA
Source: RNAcentral